UCAAGAAAGCCGAGCUUUCUUGAUGGAGGGGAGCGGCAGACGGGUGAGUAACGCGUGGGAAUCUACCUAGCUCUACGGAAUAACCCAGGGAAACUUGGACUAAUACCGUAUACGUCCGAGAGGAGAAAGAUUUAUCGGAGUUAGAUGAGCCCGCGUUGGAUUAGCUAGUUGGUGGGGUAAAGGCCUACCAAGGCGACGAUCCAUAGCUGGUCUGAGAGGAUGAUCAGCCACACUGGGACUGAGACACGGCCCAGACUCCUACGGGAGGCAGCAGUGGGGAAUAUUGGACAAUGGGCGCAAGCCUGAUCCAGCCAUGCCGCGUGAGUGAUGACGGCCUUAGGGUUGUAAAGCUCUUUCAACGGUGAAGAUAAUGACGGUAACCGUAGAAGAAGCCCCGGCUAACUUCGUGCCAGCAGCCGCGGUAAUACGAAGGGGGCUAGCGUUGUUCGGAAUUACUGGGCGUAAAGCGCACGUAGGCGGAUACUUAAGUCAGGGGUGAAAUCCCGGGGCUCAACCCCGGAACUGCCUUUGAUACUGGGUAUCUAGAGUAUGGUAGAGGUGAGUGGAAUUCCGAGUGUAGAGGUGAAAUUCGUAGAUAUUCGGAGGAACACCAGUGGCGAAGGCGGCUCACUGGACCAUUACUGACGCU
This 649-nucleotide ribosomal RNA is filed under the name Salmonella enterica subsp. enterica serovar Senftenberg. Its description in RNAcentral is "bacterial SSU rRNA". It matches the Rfam family "Bacterial small subunit ribosomal RNA", at positions 53 to 747 of the family's 1533-position model. Lineage: Bacteria; Pseudomonadati; Pseudomonadota; Gammaproteobacteria; Enterobacterales; Enterobacteriaceae. The record is from RNAcentral.